UUCGACCUCAAAUCAGGUAGGACUACCCGCUGAACUUAAGCAUAUCAAUAAGCGGAGGAAAAGAAACCAACAGGGAUUGCCUUAGUAGCGGCGAGUGAAGCGGCAAAAGCUCAAAUUUGAAAUCUGGCACUUUCAGUGUCCGAGUUGUAAUUUGAAGAAGGUAUCUUUGGGUCUGGCUCUUGUCUAUGUUUCGU
RNAcentral lists this ribosomal RNA (194 nucleotides) under Lodderomyces orthopsilosis. Its description in RNAcentral is "Candida orthopsilosis partial 28S ribosomal RNA". It matches the Rfam family "Eukaryotic large subunit ribosomal RNA", at positions 1 to 191 of the family's 3401-position model. Lineage: Eukaryota; Fungi; Ascomycota; Pichiomycetes; Serinales; Debaryomycetaceae. The record is from RNAcentral.